UGGGGGAUAUUGCACAAUGGAGGAAACUCUGAUGCAGCAACGCCGCGUGAGGGAAGAAGGUCUUCGGAUUGUAAACCUCAGUAGUCAGGGACGAAAGAAAUGACGGUACCUGAAGAGUAAGCUCCGGCUAACUACGUGCCAGCAGCCGCGGUAAUACGUAGGGAGCGAGCGUUGUCCGGAUUUACUGGGUGUAAAGGGUGCGUAGGCGGGAUAGCAAGUCAGACGUGAAAUACCGAGGCUUAACUUCGGGGCUGCGUUUGAAACUGUUAUUCUUGAGUGAAGUAGAGGCAGGCGGAAUUCCUAGUGUAGCGGUGAAAUGCGUAGAUAUUAGGAGGAACACCAGUGGCGAAGGCGGCCUGCUGUGCUUUAACUGACGUUGAGGCACGAAAGCAUGGGGAGCAAACA
This 405-nucleotide ribosomal RNA is filed under the name uncultured bacterium. Its description in RNAcentral is "bacterial SSU rRNA". It matches the Rfam family "Bacterial small subunit ribosomal RNA", at positions 355 to 774 of the family's 1533-position model. The record is from RNAcentral.